AGUAACACGUGGGCAACCUGCCUUAUAGAGGGGAAUAGCCUUCCGAAAGGAAGAUUAAUACCGCAUAAGAUUGUAGCUUCGCAUGAAGUAGCAAUUAAAGGAGCAAUCCGCUAUAAGAUGGGCCCGCGGCGCAUUAGCUAGUUGGUGAGGUAACGGCUCACCAAGGCGACGAUGCGUAGCCGACCUGAGAGGGUGAUCGGCCACAUUGGGACUGAGACACGGCCCAGACUCCUACGGGAGGCAGCAUG
RNAcentral lists this ribosomal RNA (248 nucleotides) under uncultured bacterium. Its description in RNAcentral is "partial 16S ribosomal RNA". It matches the Rfam family "Bacterial small subunit ribosomal RNA", at positions 109 to 353 of the family's 1533-position model. The record is from RNAcentral.